Small nuclear RNA from Dermacentor albipictus, 184 nucleotides. RefSeq annotates it as U2 spliceosomal RNA. The record is from RefSeq and is a predicted model, not a curated record. Lineage: Eukaryota; Metazoa; Arthropoda; Arachnida; Ixodida; Ixodidae.
AGACAUGGCCGACGGGGCUGAAAUUGUAGUAUCUGUUCUCAUGAGCUCAAUAUCUGAUACGCGUUCUAUUUGGACCUAAGACAAUAAACUUAUUUUUGCGGGUUGGUGAAGUGCUCGAAGCCUGCUUCACCUCCGCCGCGGGGCGACCAGUUAUUGCGCUUUCUUCGGGAUCGGUCCACAUACC